Molecule: ribosomal RNA, 1014 nt
Filed under: Rhizophagus intraradices
Lineage: Eukaryota; Fungi; Glomeromycota; Glomeromycetes; Glomerales; Glomeraceae
Description: eukaryotic LSU rRNA
Rfam family: Eukaryotic large subunit ribosomal RNA
Source: RNAcentral
AUUUGACCUCAAAUCAGGUAGGAGUACCCGCUGAACUUAAGCAUAUCAAUAAGCGGAGGAAAAGAAAAUAACAAUGAUUCCCCUAGUAACUGCGAGUGAAGAGGGACAAGCUCAAAUUUUAAAUCUGUUAGGUUUACCUAACCGAGUUGUAAUUUGAAGAGGCGUUUUCUGUGUUUUUGAUCAGCCCAAGUCCUUUGGGAUAGGGCAUCAUGGAGGGUGAGAAUCCCGUUCGGUUGGUCAGAUUCGCUUUACGAUACGUCAUCUAAGAGUCAAGUUGUUUGGGAUUGCAGCUUAAAAUGGGAGGUAAAUUUCUCCUAAGGCUAAAUAACGGCGAGAGACCGAUAGCGAACAAGUACCGUGAGGGAAAGAUGAAAAGAACUUUGAAAAGAGAGUUAAACAGUACGUGAAAUUGUUGAAAGGGAAACGAUUGAAGCCAGUCGUACCUUCGGGUAAUCAGCCUUUCGGGUGCGAUUCUGUGGAGCGUGAGGAGUUAAAUGCCUUCAUGCCUGCAUAUUCGUGCACUUUGGGUGUACUUGCCCGUGUGGUAGGUUAACAUCAAUUUCGGAUAUCAUAAAAUGGCUGGAGGAAUGUAGCUUCGGUCUCGUACUGAAGUGUUAUAGCCUCUGGUAGAUGUGAUGACCGGGAUUGAGGAUUGCAACGAAUACCUUUUGGGCUACCCGCCUGAACUCUGAAAGUUGUUCUGGUGCCGAAAGCUUGCUUACGGUUAUCAAAGUUGACGUUCAAAAGGUUAGAACGGGUUAAAUUCGUUAAGGAUGUUGACGUAAUGGCUUUAAACGACCCGUCUUGAAACACGGACCAAGGAGUCUAACAUAUAUGCGAGUGUUUGGGUGAUCAAACCCUUACGCGUAAUGAAAGUAAUUUAGGUGGGAACAUUUUUGUGCACCAUCGACCGAUCAGGAUAUUUUUUGAUAGAUUUGAGUAAGAGCAUAUCUGCUAGGACCCGAAAGAUGGUGAACUAUGCCUGAAUAGGGUGAAGCCAGAGGAAACUCUGGU